AAGAUGUUGAAGUCCUGACCCCCAGUAUCUGUGAACGUGACCUUAUUUGGAAUUGGGGUCUUUGCAGAUGAUCCAGUUAAGCUGCCAGAGGGAUGCUAACACCACCCACGUGCUGCAGCAGGACUUUGGAAGGGGAACCAGCACUGUAAUGAAGUGUUGGGUUGGCUCAAGGCUUGUCUGGACCACAAACCAUUUUUCAACUAUUGGUGUGUCUUUAAAACCCAAACCAACUGUGAGAGUGGUUUUCUACUUUGAUUCUAGAUGGGAAAAUAUUUUGCUUUUUUGGUGGAUGACAGUGUCAGGUCCCAAAUGGAUUCGGUUUCACUAUCCUCCAGCACGCAUGCAUAUAAUGUGAAACAUACCCACGCUCUGCAAGGGCCACAGCCACCCCACCAUUAGGUUCCAAGGCAAAUAUGCGUCCGCGGGUCCCCGGGAAAGUAAAGGAGGAGUUUCAUGUUGAGGAGCCGAGCCACACAGUCUAGCAGUUCUGAUGUCUCUCCAAGGCUCAGAGAUCCUGGUCUACUAACUUAAGGCCGCUUUUGUCUAAAAUAAUGAUGUACAUUAAAAGCAAAGGGCAAAUGGAACCAUUGAAAAGUACUUUUUGCAUCCAAAACAGCCAACGCUUUGGUGCCUGCUAUGUGUC
RNAcentral lists this long non-coding RNA (643 nucleotides) under Pongo abelii (Sumatran orangutan). RNAcentral describes it as "lincRNA". Lineage: Eukaryota; Metazoa; Chordata; Mammalia; Primates; Hominidae. The record is from RNAcentral.